This 72-nucleotide transfer RNA is filed under the name Coemansia thaxteri. RNAcentral's name for it is "tRNA-Thr". It matches the Rfam family "tRNA". From Rfam's summary of the family: Transfer RNA (tRNA) molecules are approximately 80 nucleotides in length. Their secondary structure includes four short double-helical elements and three loops (D, anti-codon, and T loops). Lineage: Eukaryota; Fungi; Kickxellomycota; Kickxellomycetes; Kickxellales; Kickxellaceae. The record is from RNAcentral.
GGCUUAGUGGUCUAGCGGUAUGAUUCCUGCUUUGUGGGCUGGCGGUCCCGGGUUCAAGUCCCGGCUGAGCCC